UGUCGCUAUACCGCAUACGCCCUUAGGGGGAAAGAUUUAUCGCUGAUAGAUGAGCCCGCGUACGAUUAGCUAGUUGGUGAGGUAAUGGCUCACCAAGGCUACGAUCGUUAGCUGGUCUGAGAGGAUGAUCAGCCACACUGGGACUGAGACACGGCCCAGACUCCUACGGGAGGCAGCAGUGGGGAAUAUUGGACAAUGGGCGAAAGCCUGAUCCAGCAAUGCCGCGUGAGUGAUGAAGGCCUUAGGGUUGUAACCCCCCGCGCCCCCGCCCCGCCCGCCGCGCGCCGCC
This 289-nucleotide ribosomal RNA is filed under the name uncultured Sphingomonadaceae bacterium. Its description in RNAcentral is "partial 16S ribosomal RNA". It matches the Rfam family "Bacterial small subunit ribosomal RNA", at positions 159 to 477 of the family's 1533-position model. Lineage: Bacteria; Pseudomonadati; Pseudomonadota; Alphaproteobacteria; Sphingomonadales; Sphingomonadaceae. The record is from RNAcentral.